UGUGUGUGUGUGUGUGUGUAUGUGUGUACAUUUUGCUCACUCAGUUUUUGCUCCUAGCACCGAGUAAAUGCCAACGCUGCUGUUUGUUUUGGCUCCUGUUUAAAACUCUGGCUCUACACACACACACACACACACGCACACACACA
Molecule: non-coding RNA, 146 nt
Organism: Xyrichtys novacula (pearly razorfish)
Lineage: Eukaryota; Metazoa; Chordata; Actinopteri; Labriformes; Labridae
Source: the annotation of a GenBank genome assembly